UACGUAGGGGGCGAGCGUUAUCCGGAUUUAUUGGGCGUAAAGCGUGCGAAGGCGGUUUAUUAAGUUUAAGAUAAAAGCCCGGGGCUUAACUCCGGUUCGUCUUAAAUACUGGUAGACUUGAGUAUGGUAGAGGUAAAUGGAAUUUCUAGUGUAGCGGUGAAUGCGUAGAUAUUAGAAGGAACACCAGUGGCGAAGACGAUUUACUGGGCCAUUACUGACGCUCUAGCACGAAAGCGUGGGUAGCAAAUAG
This 250-nucleotide ribosomal RNA is filed under the name uncultured prokaryote. RNAcentral describes it as "partial 16S ribosomal RNA". It matches the Rfam family "Bacterial small subunit ribosomal RNA", at positions 524 to 775 of the family's 1533-position model. The record is from RNAcentral.